This 497-nucleotide ribosomal RNA is filed under the name uncultured bacterium. RNAcentral's name for it is "partial 16S ribosomal RNA". It matches the Rfam family "Bacterial small subunit ribosomal RNA", at positions 28 to 507 of the family's 1533-position model. The record is from RNAcentral.
GAUGAACGCUGGCGGCGUGCCUAAUACAUGCAAGUCGAGCGAACAGACGAGGAGCUUGCUCCUCUGACGUUAGCGGCGGACGGGUGAGUAACACGUGGAUAACCUACCUAUAAGACUGGGAUAACUUCGGGAAACCGAAGCUAAUACCGGAUAAUAUAUUGAACCGCAUGGUUCAAUAGUGAAAGACGGUUUUGCUGUCACUUAUAGAUGGAUCCGCGCCGCAUUAGCUAGUUGGUAGGGUAACGGCUUACCAAGGCAACGAUGCGUAGCCGACCUGAGAGGGUGAUCGGCCACACUGGAACUGAGACACGGUCCAGACUCCUACGGGAGGCAGCAGUAGGGAAUCUUCCGCAAUGGGCGAAAGCCUGACGGAGCAACGCCGCGUGAGUGAUGAAGGUCUUCGGAUCGUAAAACUCUGUUAUUAGGGAAGAACAAAUGUGUAAGUAACUAUGCACGUCUUGACGGUACCUAAUCAGAAAGCCACGGCUAACUACGUG